Molecule: ribosomal RNA, 393 nt
Filed under: uncultured bacterium
Lineage: Bacteria
Description: partial 16S ribosomal RNA
Rfam family: Bacterial small subunit ribosomal RNA
Source: RNAcentral
AUACGGAGGAUGCGAGCGUUAUCCGGAUUUAUUGGGUUUAAAGGGAGCGUAGGUGGGAUAUUAAGUCAGCUGUGAAAGUUUGGGGCUCAACCUUAAAAUUGCAGUUGAUACUGGUUUCCUUGAGUACGGUACAGGUGGGCGGAAUUCGUGGUGUAGCGGUGAAAUGCUUAGAUAUCACGAAGAACUCCGAUCGCGAAGGCAGCUCAGCGGGCCGGAACUGACACUGAUGCUCGAAAGUGCGGGUAUCAAACAGGAUUAGAUACCCUGGUAGUCCGCACAGUAAACGAUGAAUACUCGCUGUUUGCGAUACACGGUAAGCGGCCAAGCGAAAGCGUUAAGUAUUCCACCUGGGGAGUACGCCGGCAACGAUGAAACUCAAAUGAAUUGGCGGGG